Molecule: ribosomal RNA, 1342 nt
Filed under: Enterococcus faecium
Lineage: Bacteria; Bacillati; Bacillota; Bacilli; Lactobacillales; Enterococcaceae
Description: bacterial SSU rRNA
Rfam family: Bacterial small subunit ribosomal RNA
Source: RNAcentral
AAAGGCGCUUUCGGGUGUCGCUGAUGGAUGGACCCGCGGUGCAUUAGCUAGUUGGUGAGGUAACGGCUCACCAAGGCCACGAUGCAUAGCCGACCUGAGAGGGUGAUCGGCCACAUUGGGACUGAGACACGGCCCAAACUCCUACGGGAGGCAGCAGUAGGGAAUCUUCGGCAAUGGACGAAAGUCUGACCGAGCAACGCCGCGUGAGUGAAGAAGGUUUUCGGAUCGUAAAACUCUGUUGUUAGAGAAGAACAAGGAUGAGAGUAACUGUUCAUCCCUUGACGGUAUCUAACCAGAAAGCCACGGCUAACUACGUGCCAGCAGCCGCGGUAAUACGUAGGUGGCAAGCGUUGUCCGGAUUUAUUGGGCGUAAAGCGAGCGCAGGCGGUUUCUUAAGUCUGAUGUGAAAGCCCCCGGCUCAACCGGGGAGGGUCAUUGGAAACUGGGAGACUUGAGUGCAGAAGAGGAGAGUGGAAUUCCAUGUGUAGCGGUGAAAUGCGUAGAUAUAUGGAGGAACACCAGUGGCGAAGGCGGCUCUCUGGUCUGUAACUGACGCUGAGGCUCGAAAGCGUGGGGAGCAAACAGGAUUAGAUACCCUGGUAGUCCACGCCGUAAACGAUGAGUGCUAAGUGUUGGAGGGUUUCCGCCCUUCAGUGCUGCAGCUAACGCAUUAAGCACUCCGCCUGGGGAGUACGACCGCAAGGUUGAAACUCAAAGGAAUUGACGGGGGCCCGCACAAGCGGUGGAGCAUGUGGUUUAAUUCGAAGCAACGCGAAGAACCUUACCAGGUCUUGACAUCCUUUGACCACUCUAGAGAUAGAGCUUCCCCUUCGGGGGCAAAGUGACAGGUGGUGCAUGGUUGUCGUCAGCUCGUGUCGUGAGAUGUUGGGUUAAGUCCCGCAACGAGCGCAACCCUUAUUGUUAGUUGCCAUCAUUCAGUUGGGCACUCUAGCAAGACUGCCGGUGACAAACCGGAGGAAGGUGGGGAUGACGUCAAAUCAUCAUGCCCCUUAUGACCUGGGCUACACACGUGCUACAAUGGGAAGUACAACGAGUCGCGAAGUCGCGAGGCUAAGCUAAUCUCUUAAAGCUUCUCUCAGUUCGGAUUGCAGGCUGCAACUCGCCUGCAUGAAGCCGGAAUCGCUAGUAAUCGCGGAUCAGCACGCCGCGGUGAAUACGUUCCCGGGCCUUGUACACACCGCCCGUCACACCACGAGAGUUUGUAACACCCGAAGUCGGUGAGGUAACCUUUUGGAGCCAGCCGCCUAAGGUGGGAUAGAUGAUUGGGGUGAAGUCGUAACAAGGUAGCCGUAUCGGAAGGUGCGGCUGGAUCACCUCCUUU